UACGUAGGGGGCAAGCGUUGUCCGGAAUCAUUGGGCGUAAAGCGCGUGUAGGCGGCCAGGUAAGUCCGUUCUGAAAGCCCGGGGCUCAACCCCGGGAGGCGGAUGGAUACUGCUUGGCUCGAGUCCGGAAGAGGCGAGUGGAAUUCCCGGUGUAGCGGUGAAAUGCGUAGAUAUCGGGAGGAACAUCUGUGGCGAAGGCGACACCCUGGACCAGCACUGACACUGAGGCACGAAAGCGUGGGGAGCAAACAGG
RNAcentral lists this ribosomal RNA (253 nucleotides) under uncultured bacterium. RNAcentral describes it as "partial 16S ribosomal RNA". It matches the Rfam family "Bacterial small subunit ribosomal RNA", at positions 524 to 776 of the family's 1533-position model. The record is from RNAcentral.